CCUACGGGGGGCUGCAGUGAGGAAUAUUGGUCAAUGGACGAGAGUCUGAACCAGCCAAGUAGCGUGAAGGAUGACUGCCCUAUGGGUUGUAAACUUCUUUUAUAUGGGAAUAAAACGUUCCACGUGUGGGAUUUUGUAUGUACCAUAUGAAUAAGGAUCGGCUAACUCCGUUCCAGCAGCCGCGGUAAUACGGAGGAUCCGAGCGUUAUCCGGAUUUAUUGGGUUUAAAGGGAGCGUAGGUGGUUGUUAAGUCAGUUGUGAAAGUUUGCGGGUCAACCGUAAAAUUGCAGUUGAAACUGGCAGUCUUGAGUACAGUAGAGGUGGGCGGAAUUCGUGGUGUAGCGGUGAAAUGCUUAGAUAUCACGAAGAACUCCGAUUGCGAAGGCAGUUCACUGGACUGCAACUGACACUGAGGCUCGAAAGUGUGGGUAUCAAACAGGAUUAGAUACCCCUGUAGUC
Molecule: ribosomal RNA, 459 nt
Filed under: uncultured bacterium
Lineage: Bacteria
Description: partial 16S ribosomal RNA
Rfam family: Bacterial small subunit ribosomal RNA
Source: RNAcentral